Molecule: transfer RNA, 69 nt
Filed under: Rattus norvegicus (Norway rat)
Lineage: Eukaryota; Metazoa; Chordata; Mammalia; Rodentia; Muridae
Rfam family: tRNA
About the family: Transfer RNA (tRNA) molecules are approximately 80 nucleotides in length. Their secondary structure includes four short double-helical elements and three loops (D, anti-codon, and T loops). Further hydrogen bonds mediate the characteristic L-shaped molecular structure. tRNAs have two regions of fundamental functional importance: the anti-codon, which is responsible for specific mRNA codon recognition, and the 3' end, to which the tRNAs corresponding amino acid is attached (by aminoacyl-tRNA synthetases). tRNAs cope with the degeneracy of the genetic code in two manners: having more than one tRNA (with a specific anti-codon) for a particular amino acid; and 'wobble' base-pairing, i.e. permitting non-standard base-pairing at the 3rd anti-codon position.
Source: Rfam by way of RNAcentral
GGGGAUUUAGCUCAGCCUUAGAGCGCUUGCCUAGCAAGCACAAGGCCCUGGGUUCGAUCCCCAGCUCUG